AUGAGGCUGCUGCUGUCGUAUCUGAGUUCGCCGUCGUGUCAGCUGACACAGCUCUGUGCGGAGUGGAUGGGAGCUUCGGGGGAAAAAUACUGUUGGCUGGGUGAGUGUCCAGUGAUCCAGAGCAGUGAAGGCAGGGGGCAGGCAGGUGAUGUGAGAUCCAGAGAACCGGAAGCAGAGGUACCCAACGUCCAGUUAGAGGUGCAAGCUGUUGGUGGUGGGCAUGAUGGAAUCCAGGAACUACCGAGGGCACAAGGAAGAAGAGGUAAGUAAUCGUAGGGAUGAAAAGUAAGGCGCAAAGAGAAACCUGUUACUAACAGAGAUUAGCUAUUGGAUGAGGAUGCUGGUCCUAAAUACCGUCUGUUGAUAGCUCUUGAUCACUGCCAGGUGAGCAAGCAGGUGCAGUGACAAUGCUCCGCCCAAAGGCGUGAACUACAGCCAACUCACCUGGACCAUGACAGAUGGUUUAUGCUUUAUGAUAUCCAAUUAAGUAAUACAGCAUACUAUCUUCAGAUAGCCACAUGACAUUUUCAGGACUUCAAUCAAAUCUAUUCUUUCCCUACACCAACCUGCACCAGUGCAAAACCCUUUGUUUGUUUGUUAACUUAUACAAACAAUGGUCAGGAUUUAAUAAAGAGGCACACUUUCAGCUUUGUGAAAAGGCUGAAAAGAGCUGGCCUUGUUGCAUAUGUAUUAGCAGGAAUUUCCCUGAAAAAAAAUGGGAGGAUGGUAUUUAAAUGAAUCACAGAAAUGUAAUUUACCAAGGUUUGCCACACAGAAUUAAUGAAUUGAAAAGAUAUAAAGAUGGAUCAUAAAUACGAAAAAUGAAGCAUGCCUAUUUGCUAUUGAAAUCAUAAAUUGAGAAAUAGAUUUUUAAAGAAAACACUGGCAAAAGAAUAAGGUCAAUGAAAAAUAAAAAGAGUAUAUCAAAGUAUAUAUCAAAGAAUAUAAUUUGAUUAAAGUAGAAAAAAAUGACCAAAGAAUCAUCAUCCUUAUUUGGAAAGACCUACAAACAUUUACUAAAAACAUAUAAGUUGACUCGGGACACUGUAAUGUUUGCUUAUCUACUCGGCAAAGAUUUACCGACUGCAUGAAAUUCACUUUUAGCAAAUAGCUUACUCUCCAGAAAGUAGGUGUUUUUCCUUUAAUCAGUGUGUUUACAGGAGCUGUUCGGAUCAGAGUUGCCACUUCUGACAUUUUCAUAAAUGUGGUGUGAUAAAUUAGUGACCCUUGUUCUCUGACCAGUCAUUUGUCUGACUGACAUUGUGGAAUGAACUCUGGUGUCUUUUGCAUAAACAACUUGAUCAUUUCUGCCAGCCACUGGCUGCAUGCGUGUAUGUACUGUAUUCGUGUUUGUGUGCACAUCUGUGUAUCGUUUCAGUUUUUUAUGUUUCCACACGUGAAAAAGAUGACUCACCGCAUUUUGCCUUUGUGCAGUUGUGUACUUGUGUGACUCAGUCUCUGCAGUGUGUUGUUUGUUUUCAUUAUGGGUGUGUGUCCCCUAUGGCUUUUAACUAUAGGAGCACAGAGAUGAAUGGAGCUCUGUGAAGCAACAUGGAUUUCACAUCCUAUCGCCUCCUUCCUUUGUCUUUCUGCUGCACAAGAAGAGGGAAAAAGUGCACAGUAUGGAGACAAAGACGGGCAGAGAGAAGGGAAAGGUGAAAAAGAAUUGGGAAUAAAACAAGGACAAAAGCAGGGAGAAAACACAGCGAGAGGAACAAAAAUAAAAAAAGAUUUAAAAAAAGAAAGCCCGUACAAGGGGUUUGGAUCUUGUUGAUAUCGACUGACCUGUACAUUUCAAUUUUCGCCUGGCAGAUGUGAAUGCUCGCCUUUAUAUUGGGGCUUCAUGCUGUCUUUUUACUUCAUGUUAUGCGAAAAACCUUCUCGUUGCUGUUUUUCCACAAUAAACUAUUUAUUUGCAGCAUCAUUAAGUGCAAUGUAUUUUUCCCUCC
This 1949-nucleotide long non-coding RNA is filed under the name Oreochromis niloticus (Nile tilapia). Its description in RNAcentral is "lncRNA (ENSONIG00000040153.1)". Lineage: Eukaryota; Metazoa; Chordata; Actinopteri; Cichliformes; Cichlidae. The record is from RNAcentral.